AUUGAACGCUGGCGGCAGGCUUAACACAUGCAAGUCGAACGAGUGGCGGCCGGGUGAGUAAUGCUUGGGAAUCUAGCUUAUGGAGGGGGAUAACUACGGGAAGCUGUAGCUAAUACCGCGUACCGUAGGAUGAGGCCAAGUGGGAUUAGGUAGUUGGGUGGGAAAAGGAUCACCAAGCCGACGAUCUCUAGCUGGUCUGAGAGGAUGACCAGCCACACUGGGAUUGAGACACGGCCCAGACUCCUACGUGAGGCAGCAGUGGGGAAUAUUGCGCAAUGGGGGCAACCUGACGCAGCCAUGCCGCGUGAAUGAAGAAGGCCUUCGGGUUGUAAAGUUCUUUCGGUAGCGAGGCGUUAACUACAGAAGAAGCACCGGCUAACUCCGUGCCAGCAGCCGCGGUAAUUC
This 405-nucleotide ribosomal RNA is filed under the name uncultured bacterium. RNAcentral describes it as "partial 16S ribosomal RNA". It matches the Rfam family "Bacterial small subunit ribosomal RNA", at positions 30 to 526 of the family's 1533-position model. The record is from RNAcentral.